UUAUCACCUCUCCUUGUAACAACAACAACAACCAAAAAUAGAGAGAGAAAGUGGAAGUGUUGUUUAGAGUAGAAAAAAUAACAGACAACACAAAAAGCACGUGACCGUCCAUCAAAAAGAAGAAGAGCUUAUCUAGUUGUCAACGUGUUAUAUAGUACUAGUACCUUAAAAUAAUGUGCUGUCUCAUUACUUAAGAGAGAAGAAGAAACCAAAUAUUGAAUUUGUUUCAAGACUUUAGCCACUCUGAUGGCGUCCUAGUCAGAACGCAACAAAAAGAAACCAAACCAAUUUCAGUUGAAGAUAUGGGAAGUUUAGCUAUGAAUCCAUUAUUUAGAAGUGAAUCUUUUGGAUAUUAUAACAACUUCCCUGACCAGAACUACACGAUGAUGGAGAAGAGACAGUUGUUCCUAAGAAGCUACCAGUUCUGUAGAAAGAAGAGUCUGACAGAGAGAAUCAAAGGCUCUUUAAUCCGUGCUAAGAAAGUUGUUUGGUUAAAGCUAAGGCAUGCUCGUGGAUUAAGAAAGUUGGUGUUUUUUCCCAGGUUUAAAUGCGGUUUUUAUUACCGUAGAAGAAGGUUCUUUUCACAGCUUUUAAACAGUAGUAAUAGUAAUAGCCAGAAGCGCAAAACUGAUUCUUCAACUUGUUUAUGGUAAUUCAUUUGUAUUUAGAUUUUGGAACAUGUAUGUAUGUAUUUUGUUCAUCAUUUUUAGCAAUAAAUUUGUUAUGUUUUUUUA
Molecule: long non-coding RNA, 734 nt
Organism: Vicia villosa (hairy vetch)
Lineage: Eukaryota; Viridiplantae; Streptophyta; Magnoliopsida; Fabales; Fabaceae
Exons: 2
Source: RefSeq, a predicted model, not a curated record